This 253-nucleotide ribosomal RNA is filed under the name uncultured bacterium. Its description in RNAcentral is "partial 16S ribosomal RNA". It matches the Rfam family "Bacterial small subunit ribosomal RNA", at positions 524 to 776 of the family's 1533-position model. The record is from RNAcentral.
UACGUAGGGGGCAAGCGUUGUCCGGAAUCAUUGGGCGUAAAGAGCGUGUAGGCGGUCCGUUAAGUCGGCUGUGAAAGUCCAGGGCUCAACCCUGGGAUGCCGGUCGAUACUGCCGGACUAGAGUUCGGAAGAGGCGAGUGGAAUUCCCGGUGUAGCGGUGAAAUGCGCAGAUAUCGGGAGGAACACCUAUGGCGAAGGCAGCUCGCUGGGACGUUACUGACGCUGAGACGCGAAAGCGUGGGGAGCAAACAGG